Molecule: long non-coding RNA, 1619 nt
Organism: Zonotrichia albicollis (white-throated sparrow)
Lineage: Eukaryota; Metazoa; Chordata; Aves; Passeriformes; Passerellidae
Source: Ensembl
UCCCUGCUUCCCUGGAUACCCCACAGGCACAGCUGCUCCAUGCCUCUGGAAAAUCCUGCUCCUCCAGAGGAAAAUCCUGUUAUUUUAAGAGGAAAAUCUUGCUCCUUUAAGAGGAAUAUCCUGCUCUUUUAAAGAGGAAAUUCCUGCUCUUCCAAGAGGCAAAUCCUGUUCUUUUAGGAGGAAAAUCCUGCUCUUUUAACGAGGAAAUUCUGCUCCUUUAAAGGGAAAAUUCUGCUUUUCUAAGAGGAAAGUCCUGCUCCUCUAAAAGGAACAUCUUGCUUUUUUAGGAGGAAUAUCCAGUUCUUUUAGGAGGAAAAACCUGCUCUUCUAAGAGGAAACUCCUGCUCUUCCAAGAGGAAAAUCCUGCUCUUUUAGGAGGAACAUUCUAUUCUUUUAGGAGGAAAAUCCUGCUCUUUUAAAGAGGAAAUUCUGCUCCUUUAAGAGGAAAAUCCUGCUCUUCUAAAAGAAACAUCCUGUCUUUUAUGAGGAAAAUCCUGUUCUUUUAAAGAGGAAAUUCUGCUCCUUUAAGGAGAAAAUCCUGCUCCUCUAAAAGGAACAUCUUGCUUUUUUAGGUGGAAUAUCCAGUUCUUUUAGGAGGAAAAUCUGCUCCUCAAAGAGGAACAUCCUGUUCUUUUAAAAGGAAAAUCUUGCUCUUUUUAAAAGGAAAUUCUGCUCCUUUAAGAGGAAAUUCCUGCUCUUCCAAGAGGAAAAUCCUGUUUCUUUAAGAGGAAAAUCCUGCUCUUUUUAAAAGGAAAUUCUGCUCCUUUAAGGGGAAAAUCCUGCUCUUCUGAGAGGAACAUUCUGUUCUUUCAAGAGGAAAAUCCUGCUUUUUUAAAGAGGAAAUUCUGCUCCUUUAAAGGGAAAAUCCUGCUCUUCUAAAAGAAACAUCCUUCUCUUUGAAGAGGAAAUUCUGCUCCUUUAAGAGGAAACUCCUGCUCCUCUAAAAGGAACAUCUUGCUUUUUUAGGAGGAAUAUCUUGUUCUUUUAAGAGGAAAAUCCUGCUCUUUUAAGAGGAAAUUCCUGCUCUUCCAAGAGGCAAAUCCUGUUCUUUUAGGAGGAAAAUCCUGCUCUUUUAAAGAGGAAAUUCUGCUCCUUUAAGGGGAAAAUCCUGCUCUUCUAAGAGCAAAAUUCUGCUACUCUAAGAGGAACAUUCUGUUCUUUUAAGAGGAAAAUCCUGCUUUUUUAAAGAGGAAAUUCUGCUCCUUUAAAGGGAAAAUCCUGCUUUUCUAAGAGGAAAAUCCUGUUCUUUUAGGAGGAAAAUCCUACUCUUUUAAAGAGGAAAUUCUGCUCCUUUAAGGAGAAAAUCCUGCUCCUUUAAGAGGAACAUCCUGCUCUUUUAAGAGGAAAGUCCUGCUCUUCUAAAAGGAACAUCCUGCUCUUUUAGGAGGAAAAUCCUGCUACUCUAAAAGGAACAUCCUGUCUUUUAGGAGGAAAAUCCUGCUCUUUUAAAGAGGAAAUUCUGCUCCUUUAAGGAGGAAACCCUGCUCUUCUAAAAGGAACAUCUUUUAAGAGGAAACUCCUGUUUUUUAAGAGCCCACAGUGCCUGGAGCCCCCAGGCCACACUCACCCCGUUGGUGGCACUGGCAGUGACCCUGCAGACACCCCCUGUGCCCUCCUCC